Molecule: ribosomal RNA, 890 nt
Filed under: bacterium enrichment culture clone bHCH1_B9
Lineage: Bacteria
Description: bacterial SSU rRNA
Rfam family: Bacterial small subunit ribosomal RNA
Source: RNAcentral
AGGUCGAAGCCGGAUGAAGAGAGCUUGCUCUCUUGAUUCAGCGGCGGACGGGUGAGUAAUGCCUAGGAAUCUGCCUGAUAGUGGGGGACAACGUUUCGAAAGGAACGCUAAUACCGCAUACGUCCUACGGGAGAAAGCAGGGGACCUUCGGGCCUUGCGCCAUCAGAUGAGCCUAGGUCGGAUUAGCUAGUUGGUGAGGUAACGGCUCACCAAGGCGACGAUCCGUAACUGGUCUGAGAGGAUGAUCAGUCACACUGGAACUGAGACACGGUCCAGACUCCUACGGGAGGCAGCAGUGGGGAAUAUUGGACAAUGGGCGAAAGCCUGAUCCAGCCAUGCCGCGUGUGUGAAGAAGGUCUUCGGAUUGUAAAGCACUUUAAGUUGGGAGGAAGGGCAUUAACCUAAUACGUUAGUGUUUUGACGUUACCGACAGAAUAAGCACCGGCUAACUUCGUGCCAGCAGCCGCGGUAAUACGAAGGGUGCAAGCGUUAAUCGGAAUUACUGGGCGUAAAGCGCGCGUAGGUGGUUUGUUAAGUUGAAUGUGAAAGCCCCGGGCUCAACCUGGGAACUGCAUCCAAAACUGGCAAGCUAGAGUAUGGCAGAGGGUGGUGGAAUUUCCUGUGUAGCGGUGAAAUGCGUAGAUAUAGGAAGGAACACCAGUGGCGAAGGCGACCACCUGGGCUAAUACUGACACUGAGGUGCGAAAGCGUGGGAGCAAACAGGAUUAGAUACCCUGGUAGUCCACGCCGUAAACGAUGUCGACUAGCCGUUGGGAUCCUUGAGAUCUUAGUGGCGCAGCUAACGCAUUAAGUCGACCGCCUGGGGAGUACGGGCGCAAGGUUAAAACUCAAAUGAAUUGACGGGGCCCGCACAAGCCGGUGGAGCCAUG